AGCAAAAUGAGGAGGUCAUACGAUCUGAAUAUCUGAUGUUGAUACAUCCAUACAUGGUCUUCAAAGUUCUCUGAUUGUU
RNAcentral lists this small nucleolar RNA (79 nucleotides) under Brachypodium distachyon (stiff brome). Its description in RNAcentral is "Small nucleolar RNA R160". It matches the Rfam family "Small nucleolar RNA R160". Rfam says of the family: snoR160 is a C/D box small nucleolar RNA, which acts as a methylation guide for 25S ribosomal RNA in plants. snoR160 has been alternatively named snoZ270 in rice. Lineage: Eukaryota; Viridiplantae; Streptophyta; Magnoliopsida; Poales; Poaceae. The record is from Rfam by way of RNAcentral.